This 406-nucleotide ribosomal RNA is filed under the name uncultured bacterium. RNAcentral's name for it is "partial 16S ribosomal RNA". It matches the Rfam family "Bacterial small subunit ribosomal RNA", at positions 30 to 526 of the family's 1533-position model. The record is from RNAcentral.
AUUGAACGCUGGCGGCAGGCCUAACACAUGCAAGUCGAGCGAGCGGCGGACGGGUGAGUAAUGUCUGGGAAACUGCCUGAUGGAGGGGGAUAACUACUGGAAACGGUAGCUAAUACCGCAUACCAUCAGAUGUGCCCAGAUGGGAUUAGCUAAUAGGUGGGGUAACGGCUCACCUAGGCGACGAUCCCUAGCUGGUCUGAGAGGAUGCACAGCCACACUGGAACUGGUGCACGGUCCAGACUCCUAAGUGAGGAAGCAGUUGGGAAUAUGGCACAAUGGGCGCAAGCCGGAUGCAGCCAUGCCGCGUGUGGGAAGAAGGCCUUCGGGUUGUAAAGCACUUUCAGCGGGGAGGCGUUACCCGCAGAAGAAGCACCGGCUAACUCCGUGCCAGCAGCCGCGGUAAUUC